RNAcentral lists this ribosomal RNA (380 nucleotides) under uncultured eukaryote. RNAcentral's name for it is "partial 18S ribosomal RNA". It matches the Rfam family "Eukaryotic small subunit ribosomal RNA", at positions 592 to 976 of the family's 1831-position model. The record is from RNAcentral.
CAAUAGCGUAUAUUAAAGUUGUUGCAGUUAAAAAGCUCGUAGUUGGAUUUGUGGCUGUCACGGGCGGCCUAUCACUUAGUGUUAGUGCUUGCCUGUGUCGCCAUCCUUGGGUGGAGCCCGUGUGGCAUUAGGUUGUCGUGCGGGGGAUGCCCAUCGUUUACUGUGAGAAAAUUAGAGUGUUCAAAGCAGGCUUAUGCCAUUGAAUAUGUUAGCAUGGAAUAAUAAGAUAGGACCUCGGUACUAUUUUGUUGGUUUGCGCACCGAGGUAAUGAUUAAUAGGGACAGUUGGGGGUAUUCGUAUUUCACUGUCAGAGGUGAAAUUCUUGGAUUUCUGAAAGACGAACUACUGCGAAAGCAUUUACCAAGGAUGUUUUCAUUAA